GGGGUGGGGGUGGAGGUGGGACGGGGGGAACACUCUCUGAAAUGAAAGACAAUAAGAAGCGUAAGUUGCCUAAAGGAGUCUUCAAAAUGUGACAGGACUAAGAUGUCUGGUGAGCUGAAUCAAAGUGAUCAGAAGAGCACAAGUCUGAACUAC
This is a long non-coding RNA of Bubalus bubalis (water buffalo), 153 nucleotides long. RefSeq lists it as uncharacterized. The transcript has 3 exons. The record is from RefSeq and is a predicted model, not a curated record. Lineage: Eukaryota; Metazoa; Chordata; Mammalia; Artiodactyla; Bovidae.